GAUGAAGAACGCAGCGAAAUGCGAUACUUGGUGUGAAUUGCAGAAUCCCGUGAACCAUCGAGUCUUUGAACGCAAGUUGCGCCCGAAGCCAUCAGGUUGAGGGCACGUCUGCCUGGGCGUCACAUAUCGUUGCCCAAUGCCUAUUGCAGUGCAAUAGGAAUUUCUAGGGCGAAUGAUGGCUUCCCGUGAGCGUUGUUGCCUCGCGGUUGGUUGAAAAUCGAGUCCUUGGUAGGGUGUGCCAUGGUAGAUGGUGGUCGAGUUAGAACGAUACCGAUCAUGUGCAUGCUCCCCAAAAUAUGGCCUCUAUGACCCACACGCGUCUUUUGACGCUCAUGACGAGACCUCAGGUCAGGCGGGGCUACCCGCUGAAUUUAAGCAUAUCAAUAAGCGGUGGA
RNAcentral lists this unclassified non-coding RNA (395 nucleotides) under soil metagenome. RNAcentral's name for it is "partial contains 5.8S ribosomal RNA, internal transcribed spacer 2, and large subunit ribosomal RNA". The stretch from base 1 to 122 matches the Rfam family "5.8S ribosomal RNA", at positions 35 to 154 of the family's 154-position model. The record is from RNAcentral.